RNAcentral lists this long non-coding RNA (265 nucleotides) under Lathyrus oleraceus (garden pea). RNAcentral's name for it is "Pisum sativum (pea) long non-coding RNA (PSAT_LNC041523)". The record is from RNAcentral. Lineage: Eukaryota; Viridiplantae; Streptophyta; Magnoliopsida; Fabales; Fabaceae.
UUUUUUUAAAUCUCAAAUGAUCAGAAUCAAUGCUUUUGAUACUGAAGUGGAAGAAACUCUUCCUCAUCCUCCAAUGGAGUAGGUGAAGGACAGGAAUUUUUUUAUCUUAUUUGUUUUAACGGUGGUUCGCUCGAUCUUAACAAUCAUCUGUGAGUUCACAUCUCAAUCUACCGUUAGUUUAUUUUUGUUUUUAUGCAAACUAUCUAUUAUUUUUUAGACGGUUUAUAAUGUGAGGUUGCUAGAUUAAUUUUUCUAUAAUAUUGAU